AUAUUAGACGAAAUUGGGAACGGGCCCCAAUAAUAGUUAUUAGAUUUUUAAUAUAAAACGUUAAUGGUUCGUCGUGUACGAUCCUCUGCGAGUUGUUUAUCUUCACAGCAGAUUACGUAAGUAAGAGUUUGGAGCAUUUAUAAAAUGGGCCAACAUUUUGUUAGUAUU
This 168-nucleotide non-coding RNA is filed under the name unclassified sequences. Its description in RNAcentral is "OTKONC RNA". It matches the Rfam family "OTKONC RNA". The record is from Rfam by way of RNAcentral.